Non-coding RNA from Oryctolagus cuniculus (rabbit), 2489 nucleotides. NCBI's taxonomy places the organism in Eukaryota, Metazoa, Chordata, Mammalia, Lagomorpha, Leporidae. The record is from RefSeq and is a predicted model, not a curated record.
GGAUUAGUUUGUUCAUUGACUCUUCCGAUAUUAUGUUGGGGCCAUUUCCCUUAAAGUGAAGAGAAUUAAAGAACAAAGUACUGAAGAAAUUCUUCCGAAGUCACAGAGCAGAUCAUUGAAGGAUGCACCUCAAGAUUCUUCUAUUUAAUCAAAGUAGACAAUAUGCCUCAUCAGAUUUUGUAAUGUAAUAUUUUAUUCUCUAUUUUUUACCUUUCUCCAAGUCCUAAAAUAACUUUCCUUCCAAAGAGGUGAAAGCAUUAUGGACAGAAGUAUGAACUUGUGAUAUUUAAGAGAAUAAAGUUGUUUAUUAAAGCCAGAAUGGAAAAGGGAAGCAAAAAGGCAUUAAAAUGAAGUUGAGGAGAUACGGCAACAAGAGUCAAGCCUGAUGAUUUAAUUUCUAAGAAGAGUUUGCAGUCUCCACCAGCAAGAUUAAUUUCCAUUCUGCCCUUCCUUAACUUUCUGAGUACAGCAUUGCCGCAGAAAUGAAAAGAUGGCCUCCAGCAGCCACAGAGUGCCAUCUUAAAAUCUGCCAUGGAAGCACAGCUGUCACAUGCUAUCCUUGGACUAGUCGUUACUGUCUGGGACAGAAGAUGUUUUCAUGGGCAUGGCCACAGAGCAUCUCCAGAAAUGCAUAUCAGGAAAUCUACCUCCUGCUGGCAACCAUAGUGAACAUUUUGCCUGUGUUCAGCUUUUCAAACCUGGCAUUGUUUCACCCAUUUCAUCAUCUGGGAAACAGAACCACGGAAAGUAAAGCAGUUGACUCAGCAUCCUGAAGCAAGAAAGUAGAGCUGAGCACCAGAGCUACAUCUGUCAGCUACCAGGUCUGUUCCCUACCUGGGGUCCUUAAUAUAAUUAACUGGGUUAUCUGAGAACGAAGCAGAGGAAGAGAGAGAGCGAGCAUGAGUGAACACACUCCCCGUGCCUGCAACAAGAUGAAGCUGAGCGCCUGGAACCCAACCCAGAUCCUACACUGGGGUGGCAGGAGCCCGAUUACUUAAGCCAUCAUCUGCUUCCCAGAGGCUGUGUCAACAGGAGGCUGGAAUCAGGAGCCAGAGCCUGGAAUCAAACCCAGGUAUUCUGAAUUGGGAAGUCCCUGCGAGGCCAGAUGCCCACCCACAAGGCCUACUCUUUGGGUGCUGCAGGGAGCCAUCUCUGAGGAAGGAAAGGUGGUUUAUCCGGAAUGAGGUAGCAGGAAAUCUAGAUCUUGGUGGAAAAGAGAAAUUUCACAUGCUGCCCCCCUACUGCAGCAUUCAAAGGUACUCAGAAAUUGGAAUCAAAACAGAGUUUAGUGCAAAAAAGUUUUGAAAUCCAUGCAUAUGACAGAUCCUCACAAAGUUCAUGGAAAGUGAGUAUUAUGAGAAAAUUAUGUGUGGAUUUCACAAAUGUUUCUGUAGAACAAACUUAUCUUUUAAUUCCAUGUUUCCACAAACUUUUUGAAACUCUCUCAUAUCUACUUGUCCUUCAUUUGGUGACCACAUAGGAACUGUUGCUAAUGCUCUGAAUUAUGGCACUUAUUAGCAUUUUUAAACAAGAGAUCUUUUAAAAACAUUUUUAGUUUUAUUUGAAAGGCAGAGUUACGCACAAAGGAAGAGAGAGGUCUUCCAUCUGCUGAUUCACUUUGCAAAUGCCUGCAAUGGCCUGGCCCAACCCCGUCCAAAGUCAUAAACCUGGAACUCCAUCUGGGUUUCUUACAUGGGAGGCAGGGGCCCAAACACUCAGGCCAUCUUUUGCUGUUUUCCAGGCCGUUAGCAAGGAACUGGAUCAGAAGUGGAGCACUUGGUGUUCAUAUGAGAUACUGGCAUCACAGGCAGCAGCUUAAUACACUGCACUCCAAAGCUGUCCCCACUUAUCAGCAUUUUUUGUGUUCCUUUAGGGAUAAAUUUACUGCUUGAAAUAUGUUUUAAAAAAAUUACAUAGUAAGGGUUGGGCAUAUGGAGUGGUGGUUAAGACAUUGCUAAGGCUCUCACAUCCCAUGUUGGAUUGCCUGUGUUGGAAUCUUUCCUUGGUUUUCAGUCCUCACCCAAGCUGAAGUAAUUGAGUCCCUCCCACCCAUGUGGGAGACCUGUACUAGUAGACUGCUUCCUGCAAUUGGUGAGUGAACCAGCAGAUGAAGAUCUCUUUUCUGCCUUUCAAAUAAAUAAAUUAAAAAAAAUUUUACAAGUACGUAGUAAAACUGCAGAACUUUGCUAUCCAUAAAAUAAUGUGAAUAGUACUUGUCAGCAAAGUACAUCUUGUAGGCCCAGCACUGUGGCACAGUGGGUAAAGCCACUGCCUGCAACGUUGGCAUCCCGUAUGGGUGUGGAUUCAUCUCCUAGACUGCUUCACUUUCAAUCCAGCUCCCUGGUAAUAGCCUGUAAAAAGCAGGGGAAGACUGCUGAAGUGUUUGGGCCCCUGACACCCACAUAGAAUUCCUGGAAGAAACACCUGGCUCCUGGCUUCAGCUUGGCUCAGCCCUGGCUGUUGUGGCCAUUUGGGGAGUGAAUAAAUGA